AGCAUUUAAAAAAAAAAAAUUAAACUCAACUCGUGGCAAAGAGAGCCUGCUAUGUAACACUUACACCACAUCAUUAAUAAUUAGACAAUUGCAUCUCUAUAUUUAAGAGAAAAGUAUAGCAAAAAUAUUUUUGUAAUAAUUAUGACGGACGGGUGAACUGGAAACUCCAUAUCAACAAUAUAAUUGAUGCAUUUUAGAUUUUUUCCACAGCAAGAUAU
RNAcentral lists this long non-coding RNA (218 nucleotides) under Ananas comosus (pineapple). RNAcentral describes it as "long non-coding RNA (ACOM_LNC036471)". The record is from RNAcentral. Lineage: Eukaryota; Viridiplantae; Streptophyta; Magnoliopsida; Poales; Bromeliaceae.